Long non-coding RNA from Ananas comosus (pineapple), 359 nucleotides. RefSeq lists it as uncharacterized. The transcript has 2 exons. Lineage: Eukaryota; Viridiplantae; Streptophyta; Magnoliopsida; Poales; Bromeliaceae. The record is from RefSeq and is a predicted model, not a curated record.
AUUAACAUGUAAUGCAUCUUUUUAUAGGAGAAAUCAUUACCUGGAAUAGGUCCAUCUCAUUGUUUCAAUGCCCGCCAGUUUUAAAGAAAAAAAAUUUAUAAAUCUCAAAAAGUCUGAAACUCAGUGGUGGACAUCAGCAAACGUUGUUACCUUUGUUCCUUGGUAGGCCAUCCAUGGUUGACUCAGUAGAUCAACUUGAGAGUUCAGGAAGCUGAUUUCGUCUUCCCACUGCAGCAAAAGCUCCACUUGUUUUUCAUUGCCAACUGCCUAUUUGUUACUUCUUGCAAUAGAGAAUCUGUUCUAGAAGCCAAGCAAAACAAGCAUUUUUGCAUAAACAAUGCAAAGUCUUUUAAAAAUUA